AGACCCGAAACCCGGUGAUCUAGCCAUGGGCAGGUUGAAGGUUGGGUAACACUAACUGGAGGACCGAACCGACUAAUGUUGAAAAAUUAGCGGAUGACCUGUGGCUGGGGGUGAAAGGCCAAUCAAACCGGGAGAUAGCUGGUUCUCCCCGAAAGCUAUUUAGGUAGCGCCUCGUGAAUUCAUCUCCGGGGGUAGAGCACUGUUUCGGCUAGGGGGCCAUCCCGGCUUACCAACCCGAUGCAAACUGCGAAUACCGGAGAAUGUUAUCACGGGAGACACACGGCGGGUGCUAACGUCCGUCGUGAAGAGGGAAACAACCCAGACCGCCAGCUAAGGUCCCAAAGUCAUGGUUAAGUGGGAAACGAUGUGGGAAGGCCCAGACAGCCAGGAUGUUGGCUUAGAAGCAGCCAUCAUUUAAAGAAAGCGUAAUAGCUCACUGGUCGAGUCGGCCUGCGCGGAAGAUGUAACGGGGCUAAACCAUGCACCGAAGCUGCGGCAGCGACGCUGAUGCGUUGUUGGGUAGGGGAGCGUUCUGUAAGCCUGCGAAGGUGGCCUGUGAGGGUUGCUGGAGGUAUCAGAAGUGCGAAUGCUGACAUAAGUAACGAUAAAGCGGGUGAAAAGCCCGCUCGCCGGAAGACCAAGGGUUCCUGUCCAACGUUAAUCGGGGCAGGGUGAGUCGACCCCUAAGGCGAGGCCGAAAGGCGUAGUCGAUGGGAAACGGGUUAAUAUUCCCGUACUUGGUGUUACUGCGAAGGGGGGACGGAGAAGGCUAUGUUGGCCGGGCGACGGUUGUCCCGGUUUAAGCGUGUAGGUGUGUGUUCCAGGUAAAUCCGGUUCACUUUAACACUGAGGCGUGACGACGAGGCACUACGGUGCUGAAGCAACAAAUGCCCUGCUUCCAGGAAAAGCCUCUAAGCAUCAGGUAACAUCAAAUCGUACCCCAAACCGACACAGGUGGUCAGGUAGAGAAUACCAAGGCGCUUGAGAGAACUCGGGUGAAGGAACUAGGCAAAAUGGUGCCGUAACUUCGGGAGAAGGCACGCUGACACGUAGGUGAAGUGAUUUACUCAUGGAGCUGAAGUCAGUCGAAGAUACCAGCUGGCUGCAACUGUUUAUUAAAAACACAGCACUGUGCAAACACGAAAGUGGACGUAUACGGUGUGACGCCUGCCCGGUGCCGGAAGGUUAAUUGAUGGGGUCAGCGCAAGCGAAGCUCCUGAUCGAAGCCCCGGUAAACGGCGGCCGUAACUAUAACGGUCCUAAGGUAGCGAAAUUCCUUGUCGGGUAAGUUCCGACCUGCACGAAUGGCGUAAUGAUGGCCAGGCUGUCUCCACCCGAGACUCAGUGAAAUUGAACUCGCUGUGAAGAUGCAGUGUACCCGCGGCAAGACGGAAAGACCCCGUGAACCUUUACUAUAGCUUGACACUGAACAUUGAGCCUUGAUGUGUAGGAUAGGUGGGAGGCUUUGAAGCGUGGACGCCAGUCUGCGUGGAGCCGACCUUGAAAUACCACCCUUUAAUGUUUGAUGUUCUAACGUGGACCCGUUACCCGGGUUGCGGACAGUGUCUGGUGGGUAGUUUGACUGGGGCGGUCUCCUCCUAAAGAGUAACGGAGGAGCACGAAGGUUGGCUAAUCCUGGUCGGACAUCAGGAGGUUAGUGCAAUGGCAUAAGCCAGCUUGACUGCGAGCGUGACGGCGCGAGCAGGUGCGAAAGCAGGUCAUAGUGAUCCGGUGGUUCUGAAUGGAAGGGCCAUCGCUCAACGGAUAAAAGGUACUCCGGGGAUAACAGGCUGAUACCGCCCAAGAGUUCAUAUCGACGGCGGUGUUUGGCACCUCGAUGUCGGCUCAUCACAUCCUGGGGCUGAAGUAGGUCCCAAGGGUAUGGCUGUUCGCCAUUUAAAGUGGUACGCGAGCUGGGUUUAGAACGUCGUGAGACAGUUCGGUCCCUAUCUGCCGUGGGCGCUGGAGAACUGAGGGGGGCUGCUCCUAGUACGAGAGGACCGGAGUGGACGCAUCACUGGUGUUCGGGUUGUCAUGCCAAUGGCACUGCCCGGUAGCUAAAUGCGGAAGAGAUAAGUGCUGAAAGCAUCUAAGCACGAAACUUGCCCCGA
This 2111-nucleotide ribosomal RNA is filed under the name Salmonella enterica. Its description in RNAcentral is "partial 23S ribosomal RNA". It matches the Rfam family "Bacterial large subunit ribosomal RNA", at positions 711 to 2802 of the family's 2925-position model. Lineage: Bacteria; Pseudomonadati; Pseudomonadota; Gammaproteobacteria; Enterobacterales; Enterobacteriaceae. The record is from RNAcentral.